This is a microRNA precursor of Pan troglodytes (chimpanzee), 85 nucleotides long. NCBI's taxonomy places the organism in Eukaryota, Metazoa, Chordata, Mammalia, Primates, Hominidae. The record is from Ensembl.
GGGACGGGGCCUGCAGGCAGAAGUGGGGCUGACAGGGCAGAGGGUUGCGCCCCCUCACCACCCCUUCUGCCUGCAGCGGUGGGCU